UACGUAGGUGGCGAGCGUUGUUCGGAUUUAUUGGGCGUAAAGGGUCCGCAGGGGGUUUAUCAAGUCUGAUGUGAAAUCCCAAGGCUCAACCUUGGAACUGCAUUGGAAACUAGUAAACUAGAGUAUCGGAGAGGUAAAUGGAAUUCCUGGUGUAGCGGUGGAAUGCGUAGAUAUCAGGAAGAACACCGAGAGCGAAGGCAAUUUACUGGACGAUUACUGACCCUCAGGGACGAAAGCGUAGGUAGCGAAC
Molecule: ribosomal RNA, 250 nt
Filed under: uncultured bacterium
Lineage: Bacteria
Description: partial 16S ribosomal RNA
Rfam family: Bacterial small subunit ribosomal RNA
Source: RNAcentral